Molecule: long non-coding RNA, 370 nt
Organism: Gopherus flavomarginatus (Mexican gopher tortoise)
Lineage: Eukaryota; Metazoa; Chordata; Testudines; Testudinidae
Exons: 3
Source: RefSeq, a predicted model, not a curated record
CUGCUACCUAGACACCGCCCAGGCCUCAGCACAAGGAGCUCCUAGAGUUGUGCUCUGGAGCACACAGGGAGUGAAAGCCCCCUGCGCUGGAUCCUAAGGCUGGGCACUUCUGGAACAGGCAAGGAAGGAAGAGACCUUUCGGAACUACUGAUUCCUGCAGACUGAAGAGUACUGCUCCUCUUAUUGCCAGAGUCCUCAAACAGUUGCUCAACUUUGACCUGACUUCCAGUCAGAGGAUGAUCUUUCAUACAUUCUACACUGCAAGAUCGCAUGAGAUACUAUCCUAUGCAAUGCUGAAGAAAGUCAGGACUAGUGCAGCAACAUCUGUUAUCCAUUCUGGCCUUUAAUCUCAAUAAAGAUGUGAGACAUG